AUCAGGGACUGUGGCAUUGGGAGGAAAUGAGGAUUAUGGGAAGAUCAGGAUGGAGGAGAUCAGUCUGGACAUGUUUUUUCUCAUCACUCCUGAACUCACGUGAUUUCAAGGAACCCCAGAGACUGGUUCUGCUGCUGCUGAUGCUCAUCUCGACCAUGUGGCUGGAUGCUGAAUGGAUGCAUGAAUGGAGGGAAGGAUGGUGGGAAGGAUGAAGGAUGGAUGAAUAAAUAGCCAUAAUAUAUAGAGAUACAAAGCGGAUACAAACCGGGACACGGGAUUCAUUAUAUAGAGUGCAAUUUACAUUAAAUCCAAAAUAAUGUAAACUUUUAUUUUGAAAGCCGGAUGUGAGAUAAGAUGAAGCGGAAGUUGCGUGUACGUGUUGCUGAGUGUGUGUAUGAACCGGUUAGAGAUUUUCCUGCGUUUACAUUUAUUUUACUGUUAUAGCAUUUAGUGUUAUUUUAUAGUAACGGAGUAGCGAAGCUGCUAACUUAGAGGAGACAGGAGGCUGUACUGCAGUGAGGAGUUACCAUGGAAACAGACACGUCACUGCUGCGGGCGGAGGAGGAGGAGGAGCUCUAUAACCUGCUGCAGGUAUUUCAUUUCUACUAAUUAAAUUCAUAACUUUAAUAAGCCCCGCCCACUACAGCUAAUUAAUCACCUGUUCAUUACAUUCAUGAUAAUACACACACAACUCUCUAACUUAAUCACACACACAACACACACACACAAAACUCUCACUCAAUCACACACAC
Long non-coding RNA from Silurus meridionalis, 752 nucleotides. RefSeq lists it as uncharacterized. The record is from RefSeq and is a predicted model, not a curated record. NCBI's taxonomy places the organism in Eukaryota, Metazoa, Chordata, Actinopteri, Siluriformes, Siluridae. The transcript is spliced from 3 exons.